UAGGGAAUCUUCCACAAUGGACGAAAGUCUGAUGGAGCAACGCCGCGUGAGUGAGGAAGGUUUUCGGAUCGUAAAACUCUGUUGUAAGGGAAGAACACGUACGAGAGUAACUGCUCGUACCUUGACGGUACCUUAUUAGAAAGCCACGGCUAACUACGUGCCAGCAGCCGCGGUAAUACGUAGGUGGCAAGCGUUGUCCGGAAUUAUUGGGCGUAAAGCGCGCGCAGGCGGUUCUUUAAGUCUGAUGUGAAAGCCCACGGCUCAACCGUGGAGGGUCAUUGGAAACUGGAGAACUUGAGUACAGAAGAGGAAAGCGGAAUUCCACGUGUAGCGGUGAAAUGCGUAGAGAUGUGGAGGAACACCAGUGGCGAAGGCGGCUUUCUGGUCUGUAACUGACGCUGAGGCGCGAAAGCGUGGGGAGCAACAGGAUUAGAUACCCUGGUAGUCCACGCCGUAAACGAUGAGUGCUAAGUGUUAGGGGGUUUCCGCCCUUAGUGCUGCAGCUAACG
This 509-nucleotide ribosomal RNA is filed under the name uncultured Bacillota bacterium. Its description in RNAcentral is "bacterial SSU rRNA". It matches the Rfam family "Bacterial small subunit ribosomal RNA", at positions 355 to 857 of the family's 1533-position model. Lineage: Bacteria; Bacillati; Bacillota. The record is from RNAcentral.